This 160-nucleotide non-coding RNA is filed under the name Treponema primitia. Lineage: Bacteria; Pseudomonadati; Spirochaetota; Spirochaetia; Treponematales; Treponemataceae. The record is from RNAcentral.
AAAGGAAGGGAGGUGAUCGGUAUUGACUGAGAUUCCUCCGCUAUCCCGUAACUGUGAGUGGGUUUUCCAUCAUUAACGGUCACUGGCCAGACUAAAAUCCGACUGGGAAGGCCGAUGGAAAUGUCCGGUGAGUAGCCGGAGCCCAUAAGCCAGGAGACUU